GGAUUAUGUUACUGCCUGGGCCUGACCACAGGCCCAGCUGAACUGAUUUGAAAUAGUGAAUCAGCCUUGCUCAGGCCAAUGCACUCAGGAAGUAGAAGUUCUCCUUCCUGUCUCUUUACGCUGGUGGAGCAGGCAAGCCUGCGAGUCACCCAGAACAGACAGGGGCCUGGGACCCUGAUCACUGCAUGGAGGGAAGUCCCCAGCAACCAUCAACACCCAGUCAGCAUGCAGCCGGGUGAGGGUAUUCUUCUGCCCCUCUUUCUUCUCUGGAAGCUCUGGUCUAUGUCACCCACCACCUCGGGGGCACCCGGGAGGCUCACUCAUUCGCAGCAGGCGCGGCUCCACCGGCCCAGGAAGCUCAUCAGCCCUGGAAUCGGCGUCUGGAGCCUCCUCUCCCUAGACCACGCUGCUGCCAUAAAUAAACACCACGUGGGCUCCCUUUACGAUCCGGUCAGAGGAAAGGAGCUUUGGCUGCCCAGGAAGCCAGCGAGUGGAGCCCGCCGCUCCCUCAGCGCCCCUGCCCGGGCCAUCGCUCCGCAACGCGCCUUGCAGCUCCUGGGCUCAUUUUCUGAUAGAGCUGUGGGUUUCUACUGCUGAUAGCAGAGAUCAUUCUCCCUUGUAGCUGAAUGCUAAUUGGCCAUUCUCUUGUACACGCAGUCCCUUUGUCGCCCUGUCCCCCAGGGAGAGGUACUUGAGUAAAGAGCAAUCUGGAAAGAUGGAGGAGGGUGGUUCUGGCUAAAUUGCCCAUCGCUAAGUCAGAGGUCAAGAAAAGACUCAAAUUGGGGGCAAGGGAGAGCUACUUCCAGCAUUUCUAGAGCGCUCUGCGAGCCCGUGCUGUCCCCCCUCACUGGCUGCUGCACCCACACACCACAGCCAAUCGGUGGCCCAGAAGUUGCAGGGGCUGAGCGUCACCCAGGGCCCAGGCGAGGUCCUGGAGGCCCAGAGAUGAUGAAGGCACAGUGCAGGAGCCCGUCGUGAAGGAGCUGCCCGUGUGGUGGGACAGAGCCGCGGGAGGAACAUGGAGACUCACUGGAGAAAAUAUCAGAGCUCAGCCUUAUAGGGUAAGGAGGGACAUCCCGGGGAGAAGUGACAGUGAUGCAAAAUUACGGG
RNAcentral lists this long non-coding RNA (1110 nucleotides) under Fukomys damarensis (Damara mole-rat). RNAcentral's name for it is "lncRNA (ENSFDAG00000032387.1)". The record is from RNAcentral. Lineage: Eukaryota; Metazoa; Chordata; Mammalia; Rodentia; Bathyergidae.